GCUUCUUAAACAAAGGGCAGAAAAAGUAAAAUGUUAAACUGCAAAGGCAAGAGAGGGGUAAAUAUCCAUCUUUGUAGAUGUUUGUAGAAUCCAUCACCUACUGUACAGCUUAUUAAGGUAUCGUCAGACCAUAUUUCACCAGAGGAACAGUACUCACUACUCACAAUUUUAUCUUUUCAUAUCAUACAUGUAGCCGAGCUAAAUUUAAUUUGAUUUUGUUUUAUUUUUUUUAUAAUUGUUCAUACCUUUUUUAUUGUGAACUCCACCAAAUAUUGGUUCCUAGUUGUAAGUUGAUUUCGUUGUUCCGUAUGGCAUGCCUUUUGUUUCCCUGGGGAGUGGUUUGCCGUUGCACCUGUGUGUCUAGCGUCAGUGAGCGCUGAUGCACGGAGCUGAGUGGAGAGUGAUAUCCCGGAUUGUGUGUGACGCCCGUGUUGUUUUGUCUCCUUUGAAAAGGUAUGCCUGUUAUGUGUCUUUAUGGUAAAAUAUGUAAAAUGAGUGUGAGGAAACUGACAAUUCUCUAUUAUAUUUUAUUUCCUUUAUUAGUGUAUAUAUUUAAUAUACUGUCUUUUUAUUUAAUUUAUUUAUUUGAGAUCAUUUUAUGCUUUGUUUACAUUUUUAUAAUUUAUUCCCUACAUGUAUUCAUUGAAAGUCACAGGAUAUAUUAAGCUAGCGUCAGUGAGCGCUGAUGCACGGAGCUGAGUGGAGAGUGAUAUCCCGGAUUGUGUGUGACGCCCGUGUUGUUUUGUCUCCUUUGAAAAGAAUAAACCUCCAGUACUCGACUCCUGUGUGUGCCUCACUCAAAGAUACAAGACACAACGCAGAAAGACAUCGGUUAUUUAGUGGAGAGUGAUAUCCCGGAUUGUGUGUGACGCCCGUGUUGUUUUGUCUCCUUUGGAAAGGUAUGCCUGUUAUGUGUCUUUGUUUAUGGUAAAAUAUGUAAAAUGAGUGUGAGGAAACUGACAAUUCUCUAUUAUAUUUUAUUUCCUUUAUUAGUGUAUAUAUUUAAUAUACUGUCUUUUUUAUUUAAUUUAUUUAUUUGAGAUCAUUUUAUGCUUUGUUUACAUUUUUAUAAUUUAUUCCCUACAUGUAUUCAUUGAAAGUCACAGGAUAUAUUAAGCUAGAGUGAGUGAGCGCUGAUGCACGGAGCUGAGUGGAGAGUGAUAUCCCGGAUUGUGUGUGACGCCCGUGUUGUUUUGUCUCCUUUGGAAAGAAUAAACCUCCAGUACUCGA
Gadus macrocephalus (Pacific cod) is the source of this 1230-nucleotide long non-coding RNA. RefSeq lists it as uncharacterized. The transcript has 3 exons. Lineage: Eukaryota; Metazoa; Chordata; Actinopteri; Gadiformes; Gadidae. The record is from RefSeq and is a predicted model, not a curated record.